This 637-nucleotide ribosomal RNA is filed under the name uncultured Actinomycetes bacterium. RNAcentral's name for it is "bacterial SSU rRNA". It matches the Rfam family "Bacterial small subunit ribosomal RNA", at positions 232 to 884 of the family's 1533-position model. The record is from RNAcentral. Lineage: Bacteria; Bacillati; Actinomycetota; Actinomycetes.
CGCGGCCUAUCAGCUUGUUGGUGAGGUAAUGGCUCACCAAGGCAUCGACGGGUAGCUGGUCUGAGAGGACGAUCAGCCACACUGGGACUGAGACACGGCCCAGACUCCUACGGGAGGCAGCAGUGGGGAAUCUUGCGCAAUGGGCGAAAGCCUGACGCAGCGAUGCCGCGUGGGGGAUGAAGGCUCUCGGGUCGUAAACCCCUUUCAGCAGGGACGAAAAUGACGGUACCUGCAGAAGAAGCCCCGGCCAACUACGUGCCAGCAGCCGCGGUAACACGUAGGGGGCAAGCGUUGUCCGGAUUUAUUGGGCGUAAAGAGCUCGUAGGCGGUUCCGUAAGUCGGAUGUGAAAACUCAGGGCUCAACCCUGAGACGCCAUCUGAUACUGCGGUGACUAGAGUCCGGUAGGGGAGCAUGGAAUUCCUGGUGUAGCGGUGGAAUGCGCAGAUAUCAGGAGGAACACCAGUGGCGAAGGCGGUGCUCUGGGCCGGAACUGACGCUGAGGUGCGAAAGCAUGGGGAGCAAACAGGAUUAGAUACCCUGGUAGUCCAUGCCGUAAACGGUGGGCACUAGGUGUGGGAUCUUCUAACGGAUUCCGUGCCGUAGCUAACGCAUUAAGUGCCCCGCCUGGGGAGUACG